GAUGAACGCUGACAGAAUGCUUAACACAUGCAAGUCAACUUGAAUUUGGGUUUUUAACUUAGGUUUGGGUGGCGGACGGGUGAGUAACGCGUAAAGAACUUGCCUCACAGCUAGGGACAACAUUUGGAAACGAAUGCUAAUACCUAAUAUUAUGAUAAUAGGGCAUCCUAUAAUUAUGAAAGCUAUAAGCGCUGUGAGAGAGCUUUGCGUCCCAUUAGCUAGUUGGAGAGGUAACGGCUCACCAAGGCGAUGAUGGGUAGCCGGCCUGAGAGGGUGAUCGGCCACAAGGGGACUGAGACACGGCCCUUACUCCGACGGGAGGCAGCAGUGGGGAAUAUUGGACAAUGGACCAAGAGUCUGAUCCAGCAAUUCUGUGUGCACGAUGAAGUUUUUCGGAAUGUAAAGUGCUUUCAGUUGGGAAGAAAGAAAUGACGGUACCAACAGAAGAAGUGACGGCUAAAUACGUG
RNAcentral lists this ribosomal RNA (467 nucleotides) under uncultured bacterium. RNAcentral describes it as "partial 16S ribosomal RNA". It matches the Rfam family "Bacterial small subunit ribosomal RNA", at positions 28 to 507 of the family's 1533-position model. The record is from RNAcentral.